CUGGGUGGCGAAGCCGCCCCAAAACCAUUCACCGCGAUCCUUCAGACAGAAUGCGGUGUUCCGAUUGGGGCGGCUUCGCCACCCAG
Molecule: unclassified non-coding RNA, 86 nt
Filed under: Pseudomonas cedrina
Lineage: Bacteria; Pseudomonadati; Pseudomonadota; Gammaproteobacteria; Pseudomonadales; Pseudomonadaceae
Source: RNAcentral